RNAcentral lists this ribosomal RNA (2931 nucleotides) under Enterobacter asburiae. RNAcentral's name for it is "23S ribosomal RNA". It matches the Rfam family "Bacterial large subunit ribosomal RNA". Lineage: Bacteria; Pseudomonadati; Pseudomonadota; Gammaproteobacteria; Enterobacterales; Enterobacteriaceae. The record is from RNAcentral.
GGGUUGUGAGGUUAAGCGACUAAGCGUACACGGUGGAUGCCCUGGCAGUCAGAGGCGAUGAAGGACGUGCUAAUCUGCGAAAAGCGCCGGCGAGGUGAUAUGAACCUUUGACCCGGCGAUGUCCGAAUGGGGAAACCCAGUGCAAUUCGUUGCACUAUCGUUAACUGAAUACAUAGGUUAACGAGGCGAACCGGGGGAACUGAAACAUCUAAGUACCCCGAGGAAAAGAAAUCAACCGAGAUUCCCCCAGUAGCGGCGAGCGAACGGGGAGCAGCCCAGAGUCUGAAUCAGCUUGUGUGUUAGUGGAAGCGUCUGGAAAGUCGCACGGUACAGGGUGACAGUCCCGUACACGAAAAUGCACAGGUUGUGAACUCGAAGAGUAGGGCGGGACACGUGGUAUCCUGUCUGAAUAUGGGGGGACCAUCCUCCAAGGCUAAAUACUCCUGACUGACCGAUAGUGAACCAGUACCGUGAGGGAAAGGCGAAAAGAACCCCGGCGAGGGGAGUGAAAAAGAACCUGAAACCGUGUACGUACAAGCAGUGGGAGCACCUUCGUGGUGUGACUGCGUACCUUUUGUAUAAUGGGUCAGCGACUUAUAUUCUGUAGCAAGGUUAACCGUAUAGGGGAGCCGAAGGGAAACCGAGUCUUAACUGGGCGUUAAGUUGCAGGGUAUAGACCCGAAACCCGGUGAUCUAGCCAUGGGCAGGUUGAAGGUUGGGUAACACUAACUGGAGGACCGAACCGACUAAUGUUGAAAAAUUAGCGGAUGACUUGUGGCUGGGGGUGAAAGGCCAAUCAAACCGGGAGAUAGCUGGUUCUCCCCGAAAGCUAUUUAGGUAGCGCCUCGUGAACUCAUCUUCGGGGGUAGAGCACUGUUUCGGCUAGGGGGCCAUCCCGGCUUACCAACCCGAUGCAAACUACGAAUACCGAAGAAUGUUAUCACGGGAGACACACGGCGGGUGCUAACGUCCGUCGUGAAGAGGGAAACAACCCAGACCGCCAGCUAAGGUCCCAAAGUCAUGGUUAAGUGGGAAACGAUGUGGGAAGGCACAGACAGCCAGGAUGUUGGCUUAGAAGCAGCCAUCAUUUAAAGAAAGCGUAAUAGCUCACUGGUCGAGUCGGCCUGCGCGGAAGAUGUAACGGGGCUAAACCAUGCACCGAAGCUGCGGCAGCGACGCUUAGGCGUUGUUGGGUAGGGGAGCGUUCUGUAAGCCGUUGAAGGUGUCCUGUGAGGGGUGCUGGAGGUAUCAGAAGUGCGAAUGCUGACAUAAGUAACGAUAAAGCGGGUGAAAAGCCCGCUCGCCGGAAGACCAAGGGUUCCUGUCCAACGUUAAUCGGGGCAGGGUGAGUCGACCCCUAAGGCGAGGCCGAAAGGCGUAGUCGAUGGGAAACAGGUUAAUAUUCCUGUACUUGGUGUUACUGCGAAGGGGGGACGGAGAAGGCUAUGUUAGCCGGGCGACGGUUGUCCCGGUUUAAGCAUGUAGGCGGAGGUUCCAGGUAAAUCCGGUACCUUUUAACGCUGAGGUGUGAUGACGAGGCACUACGGUGCUGAAGUAACAAAUGCCCUGCUUCCAGGAAAAGCCUCUAAGCAUCAGGUAACAUCAAAUCGUACCCCAAACCGACACAGGUGGUCAGGUAGAGAAUACCAAGGCGCUUGAGAGAACUCGGGUGAAGGAACUAGGCAAAAUGGUGCCGUAACUUCGGGAGAAGGCACGCUGAUAUGUAGGUGAAGCCCCUGCGGGUGGAGCUGAAAUCAGUCGAAGAUACCAGCUGGCUGCAACUGUUUAUUAAAAACACAGCACUGUGCAAACACGAAAGUGGACGUAUACGGUGUGACGCCUGCCCGGUGCCGGAAGGUUAAUUGAUGGGGUUAGCGGCAACGCGAAGCUCUUGAUCGAAGCCCCGGUAAACGGCGGCCGUAACUAUAACGGUCCUAAGGUAGCGAAAUUCCUUGUCGGGUAAGUUCCGACCUGCACGAAUGGCGUAAUGAUGGCCAGGCUGUCUCCACCCGAGACUCAGUGAAAUUGAACUCGCUGUGAAGAUGCAGUGUACCCGCGGCAAGACGGAAAGACCCCGUGAACCUUUACUAUAGCUUGACACUGAACACUGGUCCUUGAUGUGUAGGAUAGGUGGGAGGCUUUGAAGCGUGGACGCCAGUCUGCGUGGAGCCAACCUUGAAAUACCACCCUUUAAUGGCUGGUGUUCUAACGUAGACCCGUAAUCCGGGUUGCGGACAGUGUCUGGUGGGUAGUUUGACUGGGGCGGUCUCCUCCCAAAGAGUAACGGAGGAGCACGAAGGUUAGCUAAUCCUGGUCGGACAUCAGGAGGUUAGUGCAAUGGCAUAAGCUAGCUUGACUGCGAGAGUGACGGCUCGAGCAGGUGCGAAAGCAGGUCAUAGUGAUCCGGUGGUUCUGAAUGGAAGGGCCAUCGCUCAACGGAUAAAAGGUACUCCGGGGAUAACAGGCUGAUACCGCCCAAGAGUUCAUAUCGACGGCGGUGUUUGGCACCUCGAUGUCGGCUCAUCACAUCCUGGGGCUGAAGUAGGUCCCAAGGGUAUGGCUGUUCGCCAUUUAAAGUGGUACGCGAGCUGGGUUUAGAACGUCGUGAGACAGUUCGGUCCCUAUCUGCCGUGGGCGCUGGAGAAUUGAGGGGGGCUGCUCCUAGUACGAGAGGACCGGAGUGGACGCAUCACUGGUGUUCGGGUUGUCAUGCCAAUGGCACUGCCCGGUAGCUAAAUGCGGAAAAGAUAAGUGCUGAAAGCAUCUAAGCACGAAACUUGCCCCGAGAUGAGUUCUCCCUGACUCCUUGAGAGUCCUGAAGGAACGUUGAAGACUACGACGUUGAUAGGUCGGGUGUGUAAGCGCAGCGAUGCGUUGAGCUAACCGAUACUAAUGAACCGUGAGGCUUAACCUUACAACGCCGAAGCUGUU